Molecule: long non-coding RNA, 1348 nt
Organism: Fukomys damarensis (Damara mole-rat)
Lineage: Eukaryota; Metazoa; Chordata; Mammalia; Rodentia; Bathyergidae
Exons: 4
Source: RefSeq, a predicted model, not a curated record
GAGGGAGAGAGGCCCGGGCUUCGGCCGGCUGUCAGUCUGUCCGUCUGCUCCUGCCCUAGUUGUGUGCAGAUGUGGGUAGAGCCCUAACCUAAGAUCACCACCCUCUGAGACUCCCCCGGGAUGUUUGAAAAGCAAACUACUGUAUCUGCUUUUUGGAAAACGAUGACCCCACGUUUUGCCCAAAGAAAUUACAAGCAGACCCCUACCCACCCAACAUUUAAAAGACAAUCAAAAGAGCAAGGAUACAGCCAGAGGCUGUCCCACGCCGCCGGCCCUGAGCUCCCGUCCCUAAGGGCUGGGUGCUCAGCCACAGCUCUCGCUGGGACGAACGGAUGAGUGGUAGUUAUUUUUUGCCAGUGCUCACAGCUGAGGUUUCCAGGAUGUCCUUCUCUGGCUGCAAUGUCCAGGACAAAAAGCCCCCGUGACUUUUCCUCAGUGGAUCUCAGUCCACGGAAACACCAAGUCGUUUGCAACUGUUUCCUAACUGCGUGGUUAGCCCGGGAAGUCGCCAGACAGCUCAGAGGCGUUGGGAAGACUCACUAUCCCUUAGGGCACCUGGGAACCGCUGCCAGGGGAAAAUAAAGCAGGUCCACGGGGCCAACUCGUUCUGAAUGCCUCAAGUCUGCUCUUUUCUAACGUGAAGGGAUCCAAUCAGGCUUCUCCUGAGUCACUGGCCACACGGAAGGCUGAUGCAGUAAGGACUGAGCAGGAAUGAAAUCGGUGUGUCAGAAUCAUCUCUGAGUCAGAGCUGAACAGGGCCAAGAGUUCCUGGAUUCUGGUUCUUGAACGUAGAAACACCUUUCAUUACUGGAAGUGGGUCUAUGAUGUAGUGAAAGUGAAGAUUCCAUGGAGAAAACAUUUUUUUUUCUGGCUAUGAGUUCACAAGAUGCUAGCGCCUCUAACAGCCUGAAUUUCAGUGACUUGUUGCUCACUGAGCUCAGUGUAGGUAGAUGUCUGUCUGGACACUGGACAGGCGACUUCACCUUUGUUGGACCUUACUUUUCCAGGCUUGGAAAUAAAGUAGCAGUAUUCUCAGCAGAGUCCGAUCCUUCUCUGGGUAGAAUGCUAUGAUUCCAGAUUGAACACUAGAACCUUUUGCAGGUUUAAACCUCUAGGGUUCAGUUGCUAGAUCUGAGCAUCGGGAACGGAAAUGUACCAGCCUCACAGGCCCAUGAGUGUUCACAGAGGAGCCUGGGGCUUCCACAGGGUGACAUGCGUCGGAACCACCGUCGGAACCACCACAGGGAGGACCCCCCCAAGGGCAGGGCGCCAGAGGCCGAGGGGCACAGCGCCCUGCUGACAAGGGCUUCCUGCUCUGUGAGUUCCAUGGCUCUGGCUGAGCACUGGG